This 451-nucleotide ribosomal RNA is filed under the name Veillonella parvula. RNAcentral's name for it is "bacterial SSU rRNA". It matches the Rfam family "Bacterial small subunit ribosomal RNA", at positions 28 to 456 of the family's 1533-position model. The record is from RNAcentral. Lineage: Bacteria; Bacillati; Bacillota; Negativicutes; Veillonellales; Veillonellaceae.
GACGAACGCUGGCGGCGUGCUUAACACAUGCAAGUCGAACGAAGAGCGAUGGAAGCUUGCUUCUAUCAAUCUUAGUGGCGAACGGGUGAGUAACGCGUAAUCAACCUGCCCUUCAGAGGGGGACAACAGUUGGAAACGACUGCUAAUACCGCAUACGAUCUAACCUCGGCAUCGAGGAUAGAUGAAAGGUGGCCUCUACAUGUAAGCUAUCACUGAAGGAGGGGAUUGCGUCUGAUUAGCUAGUUGGAGGGGUAACGGCCCACCAAGGCGAUGAUCAGUAGCCGGUCUGAGAGGAUGAACGGCCACAUUGGGACUGAGACACGGCCCAGACUCCUACGGGAGGCAGCAGUGGGGAAUCUUCCGCAAUGGACGAAAGUCUGACGGAGCAACGCCGCGUGAGUGAUGACGGCCUUCGGGUUGUAAAGCUCUGUUAAUCGGGACGAAAGGCCUU